GUGCACGGUCACAGCGAAGGUGUUUACCUGGUCCCAUUCCGAACCCAGCAGUCAAGCCCUUCUGCGUCUCUCCCAUUACUGUGGUACGAAAGUCCACGGGAAAGGAAGUCACUGUGCCCC
This 120-nucleotide ribosomal RNA is filed under the name Methanobacteriota archaeon. Lineage: Archaea; Methanobacteriati; Methanobacteriota. The record is from RNAcentral.